Molecule: long non-coding RNA, 3633 nt
Organism: Rhincodon typus (whale shark)
Lineage: Eukaryota; Metazoa; Chordata; Chondrichthyes; Orectolobiformes; Rhincodontidae
Exons: 3
Source: RefSeq, a predicted model, not a curated record
GUGUGAAGAGGACCUUUUGGAGUUGAUUGCCUUGUGUACUAAAACAACUCACUUUCUACUCCAGCUGUCUGGUCAAUCCAGUCUCUAUUACCAAGAAGAUAUCUCAAAAAAUGUCCUUUGGCUGUUCUGUGAACAAGGAGAAGAGGAGAAUUGUUCAUAUGCAGAAAGCAUCAUUGGCAUAAUGUACGGUGGAAAUUUCAGUGCCAAGUGAAAUGAAUUCCCUAGAUUGCAGCACACUGAUAAUUUUGAUAUGAACACUGGGAGACCCCAGGUUCUAUCUGGAGGGGUACCCCUUGUCACCCACAAGCCAGCCCUGGAGAUGAUGCAGUGAUGGAGGAAACAUUUGAGGAUCCUGGGGGUCAUGCUAAACGUAAGCAACAUGACAGCUGCCUGGAUACUGGGCACACACCUGCAGGAAUUGUUGCCUGUGGUUCCAAAGGAGCUGGACAUUGAGUGAGUGUAAUCUCUUCGUGUUCAGGAGUCUGGCUGGAUGAUGCCAGGGAGUUUCAUUGCCACAUGGGAACACUCAGUAACCCCUUGAACCUGAGGGAAUUAGCAAUAGCUGCAAACCCCUCUGCUCAGGCAGCUUGGCUCUCUGGCUCCAUGGUGAACUGAACGAACUGAAUUGCUCUCCUGUAAAGGCAUCAGUGAACUCAUGAUUGCACCUUUGGGCUGCCAGUUGGGAAAUGCCACACACGUCCCUGGUGCAGGUUUGAAAGAGGCUGGUGAGGAAGUUUAAUGCACCUCUCACCUUCAUCACCACUGACACUAUGUUGCCUCCCAAAUUACAUAACUGCCUGCAGGGGGUGGCAGAUGUAGGUGAUACAUUUGGGUAAGUACAUGAAUGGGAAAGGUUUGGAAGCAUAUGGGUGAGGAGCAGGAAGUUGGGACUGGUUUAGUUUGGAAUUAUAUUCGACAUGGACUUGUUGGAUGAAAGGGUCUGUUUCCAUACUGUAUGACUCUAUGACUCUUUAUGAAGACAUCUCCAGCACUGCCUUUCACUCAUCAGCUCUGUGUAUUUCUCAUUUCUCAGUACACUGCAUGACAGCAUUGAAUACCCUGGUUCCAUUCAUCACCCACUGCAUGUUCAUUCACCACUGCCGCCAGCUGAGCCUAUGUCUCUGGUUCUGUUGGCAGUGAGCAUUCUUUCUUCUCCUUGACCUCCCCUUUGUAACCUCAGCAAUGCUAGCUCGGUUAAGUUAGGAACCAUCUAGUGCUGAUUUGUGAAGAGAUACCAGGAAUGAGAUGCUGGUUAUCCAGCUGAGAUCUUGAACUAGUCAAGCUACCCUUUGGCACCUUUUCAGGCUCCGCAUGUGUUGGAUGAAAUCCUGUCCUGCAGCCUCCUCUUCAUUUUAAGGCACAUCUUCCAUGACUCAUGACUGUUUUACCUCUUCCUCACUCUACCAUGUGUAAGAUCUUGGUGAAUCUUGAUGGUUUUCAUUAUCUCCAGUGGUACAGCUCUACAACCUUGGAAUUUACAGCCUGUAUAACACUUCCAUCCCCAAAGGUCUGUGAAUGCUCUUGCACAAACACAGAUGGAAUAAGCCCCCACCACUAGCACCAUUACAAACAUGACCACUAGUAGUGGACUUUGGGAUCCUUUUAUUCUAGAGUUAAACAAAACACGGUCACGGUUGGAUGUUGUGUUAGGAGAUGAUAAAACUUGACUGUCUUUAUUCUGCAGUACAUGCUUCCCUUCAGUGCUAAGCCUUGAACUGAGUGCUCAUAAGGUAGUAUUUUUCAGUUUCUAUGUUGCUUCCUUUAGAUGGGUGUGUUUGCAAACAGAUCAUGGUCUUCUCCCUUUCUCUGUGAAGUCUUCUUUUGUAAGUUGAUUAGCAAGAGUAACAGUGUCUCCAAACUUUUCACUUGAUUUGUUCACCCUCUAACCUCCUGGUCCAUAAUCUGCUUUUCUACGCAUCAUUGUAAAUAGCCUUGUCCGUUCCACUUGAGUCUCAACUGUCCUUCUUCAAUCUCUUUCUGUGACUAUCAGCCCUUUCCCUAUCUCCCUUGAUAUACAUCCUUUUUACCCCGAUCCUAGUCCUACACAGAUCCCUUUGCCUAGCUUUAGCCUUAUACCAUUCCUUUUUCAUGUAAAGACAGUUAAGAGGCACCUAGAUGGGUACAUGAAUAGGGAGGGAAUAGAGGGAUAUGGAUCGAAAAAUGGCAGGUUUGUUUUUAGAUUAAUUAGGGCAUGAUGGUCGGCACGGGCUUGGAGGGCCAAAGGGCCUGUUGAUGUGCUGUAAUUUUUCAUCUGUUCAUUUGUACCCACUUAACUAAUCCAUUGCGUUCCCAGGCUUAGAUCUUCUGCUCCCACAUUUCCUUGACGCCCUUGCCGCUAUCUCCCCUCUGCCUCAAUUUCCUCCCUAUAUUCCCCAAGGUACAUCCAGUGCCCAUGACAACCACACUCUUUAAGUUCCAUUCCCUACCAUUACUUUCUACCAAAUUCACCUUUGUUUGAACCUUUUGAGCUGGUUGCCUUGUUAAUGAAGUUGUAUUUGCCUGGCCUGGGCAGGCUGCUGAUGUUAGCCAGUGUGACUGCCUCACAUGGGCUGGUUUAUAGAUCCAGUGAGGUGCCACCUUUACAUUGUAUGUGCUUAAGAACUACAAACAAGAAUGCUUAUGACUGUGACUUCUCACGAGUUGCUUGACCCCGUCAGGCUUAUACUGUAAGAGUUUGUGUAAAGAAAGAGUUUAGUUAUGAUGGAGCCAAGGUGUUGAAGAAGUUUGUACUCACUGCAGCUAUGAGGAAGAAGUAUAACCUGCCUGCUACACUUCUAGUGUGUAUAGUCCAAUUGUGAGAUUAUGCAGUUCCUGUUCUUGUCUAACAAGGAAUGCAUCUGUGAGUGUACUGCUAUUUGGCUGGGGUGUCUGUAGAACGCUAAUGAAUGUAACAGAGAUAAGGUUGAGAAAGAAGGAUAUAAGGAAUCUAAAAGCUGCACAUGGGCCCAGAAAGUUCCACCCAAUAUGAUUUACAGGAGCAUAAUCAGAUAAAAAUUGACACCAAGCCAAAUUAGAAAAAGUAACAAAUGCUGGUUCUAAGGUGGUAGCUUUUGAGGAGAGUUGUAAAUGAAAAGAGAGAGUUGGGGAGACAGCAAAGAUUAGGAAGGUAAUUCUGGAGCCAAGGUCCCAUGAGGUCCUCCAGCUGAAGAUAUAGCUAACAAUUGUGAGACAAAGGAGGUGAAGGUGCACACAAGAUCAGAAUUGCAGAGUUUUCAGAAAAUGACAGGGAAGGUCACAGCAAAACUGUGGAAGCAUUUCAACAUGAGAAUGAAAAUUUUAUAAUGAGACAUUGCUGAAUGGAAAACAGAUAUCUAUUAGAGAGCACAGGGCUGAUGGUGAAUGGAUUUGGAAUGUGUUGUGAUACAGGCAGCAGGGAUUUGGACGAGUUUAAGUUUAUCGAGAUUCAGAAGCAAUUCAUCUCUUCUAUGAUUAGAUUUUUCUGGCAACAUGCUUGAAGCCUUUGGGAGACUCAAUAUGGAUCCACAUCUGCCCUCAACAUUUGCCAAUGUGUCUAACUAACAUGACUACCUUAGGACAGAAUGCUCCAGCUUGACAGUAUUUGACCAUUCAAAAUGUAAAUUUCUCUCAAAAUUGUAUAAUAUUUUCUAAAUAAAUACAUCAACUAAUACUGUA